CCGCACUCAAUGCACUUGAUAGAGAUUUUACAUUCCUUGGCAAAGUGAUCGGUGGAAGCACAGCAUCUAUAAUAUACCCCAAAGGUCUUUAGGAGUUCCUUCCGUUCUUGUAGGGGCUUCUUCCUAAAGCCGAUACAUUUUUUGAGGGGAUGUGGCUUCUUGUGGAUAGGACAUAAUUGGUUUGGGUUUUCGAUCUUGUUUGAGGCGGGAGCUGAGGAAGGAGCGGGAAUAAUGUCUGUCUUCUUAACAGACACGGGACCUCUACGGUUCCUGCAGCUGAUAUGUAGGUUG
Non-coding RNA from Pelobates cultripes (western spadefoot toad), 291 nucleotides. The record is from the annotation of a GenBank genome assembly. Lineage: Eukaryota; Metazoa; Chordata; Amphibia; Anura; Pelobatidae.